UACGUAGGGGGCAAGCGUUGUCCGGAUUUAUUGGGCGUAAAGAGCGUGUAGGCGGCCGUACAGGUCAGCUGUGAAAACUCGAGGCUCAACCUCGAGACGUCGGUUGAAACCGUACGGCUAGAGUCCGGAAGAGGAGAGUGGAAUUCCCGGUGUAGCGGUGAAAUGCGCAGAUAUCAGGAGGAACACCUGUGGCGAAAGCGGCGCACUGGACCACAACUGACGCUGAGGCGCGAAAGCUAGGGGAGCAAACAGG
This 253-nucleotide ribosomal RNA is filed under the name uncultured bacterium. RNAcentral's name for it is "partial 16S ribosomal RNA". It matches the Rfam family "Bacterial small subunit ribosomal RNA", at positions 524 to 776 of the family's 1533-position model. The record is from RNAcentral.